Episyrphus balteatus (marmalade hoverfly) is the source of this 1187-nucleotide long non-coding RNA. RefSeq lists it as uncharacterized. The transcript is spliced from 3 exons. NCBI's taxonomy places the organism in Eukaryota, Metazoa, Arthropoda, Insecta, Diptera, Syrphidae. The record is from RefSeq and is a predicted model, not a curated record.
AACAAACAACAAGAAUUUUUGAAUUGAAUUUCUUUAUUGAGUCUUUUAGGUUACAGUUGCUGUCUUAGUCUAAAAAUAACAAUUCUUUACUACUUUACUUAAGUUAAACUGGCGGCUAUAAUGUAUUGCCUGCUCUUUCAGUUGCUUUGUAAUGAAAAUGAAUACAAUGUUUGCCUCAUGGCGGUCAGUAAAAUGUUUUUCUUUUUUUUCUACUCUUGCUCAUGACAGAGAGUUUUGUUUACGUUAACUGUGUGACGUUUUGUCACCCUCUUAUAAACUAGGAUACAUAUAUACAAUAAAAAAAACUACAGAUACCUUACAAACUAACCCUACGAUAGAAUGCCUUGAACAUUUGUUAGGUUUGUGAGAUACGAAUAUACAUAGUAUGUACGGAAUACAAAUAUACAUUUUCUUUUUUUUUUUUUUUGUUAGAGCGAGAGCUCAGUCAGAUUCUUGUGAAUACAUUUGAAUAUUAUUAACAUGGAGGAAAAAGGCAUUUAUCGGGGAACACAUUUAUACUUCGAUUGUUGUGUACGAGACGAGGUAAACAUAGAUACACAGAGGGUGUUACAAAAGAAAAAAAAAAAGAAACUUCAUUAAUGAAGAUAAUGAAUGACAGAUAACAUUGAUUAUUACAAUUAUUUGUUUUAUAAAAUAUUUUUACUUUUGAUUUGUUGUUCAUUUAAUUGUCUUUUACAUUGGUGAUUUUGUAAUUAUUUAUUUUAUAAUAAUACCUGUUAUAUAUUGUUUGAUAAAUACUUGAAAUGUAUUUUAUUUCAAUUAGAAGAUAACUAAAUGAUACUUAUUCUAGUAUUUUUAAGUAGAAAAGGGGUUCCCCCAACGUACACUGUAGUGAAUCGCGGGACGCAAGUGGCGAAUGGAUAAUUAUCCGCGAUUUUGAUUUGGGAUGGCCCUGUUAUAGAACUCUAAAGGUUCUAACACUGGAGCGUCAAGAUCCACUGAGAGUAUUCCGAGUGGUGACAGAUAACCAACGCCGUCCCAAGAGGACCCAGUCUGGGAUGCUAAGGAAUGUAUUAUUAAGUCGUUUUCGGAUUGUUCAAAGUUUGAAAUUGUUUUUUUCAUGAGAAGCGAGACGUAUCUCAUCAGCGGGACAGUAUUUGUGUCGCUGUAAAUAAAGUUAUUUGAGAAUCUUUUGGUCCGGGUCUCAAAGUUUUUACCAGCACAGA